MicroRNA precursor from Camelus dromedarius (Arabian camel), 86 nucleotides. Ensembl annotates it as microRNA 96. Its record names the gene MIR96. The record is from Ensembl. NCBI's taxonomy places the organism in Eukaryota, Metazoa, Chordata, Mammalia, Artiodactyla, Camelidae.
CUGCUUGGCCGAUUUUGGCACUAGCACAUUUUUGCUUGUGUCUCUCCGCUCUGAGCAAUCAUGUGCAGUGCCAAUAUGGGAAAAGC